This is a long non-coding RNA of Oncorhynchus keta (chum salmon), 4284 nucleotides long. RefSeq lists it as uncharacterized. The record is from RefSeq and is a predicted model, not a curated record. NCBI's taxonomy places the organism in Eukaryota, Metazoa, Chordata, Actinopteri, Salmoniformes, Salmonidae. The transcript has 3 exons.
UGUUGUGCACUUCACGUUACAGGUUUAUUUCAUUUUAGUUUGUUCUAUUGGCUUUAAUGUGUAAGAUUCUACAUCUUUUGCCUAAAUCAAAUGGCACUAUAUAUAUUCUUAGCAGGCAGUCGUCUCAGUCAUCAGCUAGCCUGUCUGUUGUGGCUGUAUUUGAAUUGCUUACAGAGGUUUAAGUAGUUAAUAGCGGAGUGCUCCAGACUAGGUCACUUAGGGUGUGAGAAUCUAAACAUUUUUCAAGCGUUAACGGAAUAAAUAUCGAACCCCUCUACUUUGAAUGUGAUUUGACACAGCUGUCCCUUGGCUCUUUCUGUUAAUCCACACAAGCCUUUGAGGAAGUGGUUUGUCAUCAAACACAGUUCCUGUCAGCUAUGGGGAGAACAUAAUAAUUAGUCUCUAAAAAAAAAACGUCAAAGAACCAUGCCAGUAUUUGACGCAGUUCAGCAAGCUGGACGGUGGCCCCACCCUUUGGCCCGACACACAGAGUGGAGAGACAUGGUGUGGAUGAGCUUCUUGUUUCAUUGGUGCCCUGUAAGCUUUUUGAAUAGGGAUUACAAAUACCUCCACAUGUUACCUUGGGGCCUCACCAUGACCCUUGUAAAAAAUAAAAAAAUAUAUAUUAAAAAACCCCAAGGUAGGUCAACUCAACGUUCCAUCUCCACUACCAGAGUUCAAGACAUGGGAGCCGAACAUUCAAACGUGAAUCCGCCCCCACCCCCAGUUACUGGAUAGGUUACCCUGGGUUUUCAAACGUCAAUAAAGCUGAAUCCGCCCCCACCCCCAGUUACUGGAUAGGUUACCCUGGGUUUUCAAACGUCAAUAAAGCUGAAUCCGCCCCCACCCCCAGUUACUGGAUAGGUUACCCUGGGUUUUCAAACGUCAAUAAAGCUGAAUCCGCCCCCACCCCCAGUUACUGGAUAGGUUACCCUGGGUUUUCAAACGUCAAUAAAGCUGAAUCCGCCCCCACCCCCAGUUACUGGAUAGGUUACCCUGGGUUUUCAAACGUCAAUAAAGCUGAAUCCGCCCCCACCCCCAGUUACUGGAUAGGUUACCCUGGGUUUUCAAACGUCAAUAAAGCUGAAUCCGCCCCCACCCCCAGUUACUGGAUAGGUUACCCUGGGUUUUCAAACGUCUCCCACCGGGUUUGUGGUGAGGACACUACCAGAUGUGUGAGACCAGUUGGAGGUCACCGUUGUUCCCCUGUGACCUCUACUUCCUGACCCUAGAAGGUGAACCCCUGAUGCGAAGCACACUGACCAUGUUGUUGAGGUUUUCUGCUUUCCAUUUUAAAAGUCAAAAUAUGCGAGAGCUUGCUUCGUAAUGAGAGCUGCGGUCGGCCAACAAGGGAAUUCCAGGACAGGUCUCCCUUUACUGUGACACGUUUAUAUUGAAAGUGGAGGGUAUGUUGUCAGACAAUGCAGUAGACGGAUUGGAUAGUGUUGAAAUUACAUGCAUCUGGGCGUUGAAAAAGUUCCCAUCUAUGAAACAAGUAAACUAAUUUAACCACCACUCCCAAAAAGAAUGUUAUUUUCCACUACUGUAACAGUGGAAGAAAGUGCCUUUCUCUACAGACAUGGGACCAAGCUGUGGGGAACCAGUAUUUGUUUUAAUGUGCAAAUCCAGUCAUUAAUACCACAUGCAUUUGGCUCAAGUGAUUCAUUUUAAUAUGGUGUUUUGUCAAGUAAGCUUAGGGCUAUUUCAACUGGAAAGAAGUCCUCUAGUCCUCUAACAGAACAUACUGAUAUGGAUGCAAUGCAUUUCAAAGAAUAGAAGAAGGCCAUAAAUGUGAACAGAGCUGGAUACUCCAUGCUGUAGAUAAUUUGAAUUAUUAUCCAAACGUCGAUUUAACACUUUGACUGGCCUGUAUCAGCUGUUUAAGGUUGACAAUUUAGGCUACUUGCUGGCACCCUGGUCAACCCCUAAGGAGGUAUUUGAUCUCGCUCUCUCUCGCUCUCUCUCGCUCUCGCUGUCUCUCUCGUGCUCUUUCCUUCCCUCACCUAGAUUUGACAGGGGGAGUCAUGUGUUUGUGUAGAGUUAGCAGGACCUGUCAGCUGAAGUGCUCACCGUCUUAAUUUGCAACUUUACAGUGUAUUCAGAAAGUAUUCAGACCCCUGGACUUUUUCCACAUGCUAUGUUACAGCCUUAUUUUAAAAUUGAUGAGGAUGUUUAAGAAAUAAAUGAAAAAAUGUAAUCAAUCAACAGACAAUACCCCAUAAUGACAAAGCAAAAACAGGUUUUGGGGUAUUACUUUAUUUUUGGUGCAAAUGUAUAAAAAAUAAAAAAGUCACAGGACCAGAUUGAUGUUGAAGCCUGUUGGUUAGUUGUCUUGAUCUGGGUCCAUGCGACUCUUUCCAUUUGUUUUAAAGAAUUUUUCCAGUGGAAAAGUGAUUUGUGAUCUCAAGACAAAAAGGAAAUCCAAGGGGAAGGUUGACUGUCACAGUUGUGAGUUCGGAAACAGGUGCCUCUUCUAAGAAGCCGGACUGAUUUCCUUAGCGCUACUUCAAAGUGCACACGACCCCCAACCAGCUCACGGUUAAGACUGUAAAGAUAUUUCAGUUCAAUCACUUCUACAAAUCAAAGCUUAUUGAUCACGUGCACAGGAUACAACGUUUGAAAACAGUACGGUGAAAUACUUACUUGCAAGCUCUCCUCGAUGCAGUAAUACUAAGUCAGAAAAUAAAAUGCACAAAGAGUAUGCAUAAGAAUAAAAUAAAUACAAUAUGUACUUUUAUUUCUUGUGUUUAUUUAUUUGACGACUUAGUAUUGCUGCAUUGUUGAGGAGAGCUUGCAAGUAAGCAUUUCACUGUACUGUUUACACCUUUUUACUACUGAUUCCAUGGUGCCUCUGCAAAUGACUAGUGAGAUUCUGGGAGAAGAAAGUAAAAACAUGGAGAACACUGAUGCUUACCAGACUGCAAAUACACCUCCUAAACUGGUUUAAACCACAGGCAAAUACACCUCCUAAACUGGUUUAAACCACAGGCAAAUACACCUCCUAAACUGGUUUAAACCACAGGCAAAUACACCUCCUAAACUGGUUUAAACCACAGGCAAAUACACCUCCUAAACUGGUUUAAACCACAGGCAAAUACACCUCCUAAACUGGUUUAAACCACAGGCAAAUACACCUCCUAAAUAGCCCGAUAUCUAUCAGUGUUUUUAAAAUAGCAAUAGAUCCUCUAUCCCAAUAUAUUUCGUAACCUUUUCCACCUCGUGGUAAUGCUACACGGGCGCACAGAGUCUAGUUUCGAUGACUUAACACAGUAAACGGCAGCUGAUGAAUGUGUUGCCAGCCUCUCCUAUGUAACGAAGGUCAAAGCAACAUUGUUCAACAGCAAUGGUGUUUGUUUUGCAAUGGAAAAUUAAAACGACUUAUAGGUCCAAGUACCCAUAAAACUUCAAUUAAUAGCCCGGGUGUUUAUUUGCUUCAAUCAAUGAACAGAAAUCAAAAUUUAUAAAAAUAAAAAAAAUAGACAAGUAAAAAAUAAAAGUAACAAGUAAUUAAAGAGCAGCAGUAAAAUAACAGUAGCGAGGCUAUAUACAGAUGGUACUGGUACAGAGUCAAUGUGGAGGCUAUAUACAGAUGGUACUGGUACAGAGUCAAUGUGGAGGCUAUUUACAGAUGGUACUAGUACAGAGUCAAUGUGGAGGCUAUAUACAGAUGGUACUGGUACAGAGUCAAUGUGGAGGCUAUUUACAGAUGGUACUGGUACAGAGUCAAUGUGGAGGCUAUAUACAGAUGGUACUGGUACAGAGUCAAUGUGGAGGCUAUAUACAGAUGGUACUGGUACAGAGUCAAUGUGGAGGCUAUAUACAGAUGGUACUGGUACAGAGUCAAUGUGGAGGCUAUAUACAGAUGGUACUGGUACAGAGUCAAUGUGGAGGCUAUAUACAGAUGGUACUGGUACAGAGUCAAUGUGGAGGCUAUAUACAGAUGGUACUGGUACAGAGUCAAUGUGGAGGCUAUAUACAGAUGGUACUGGUACAGAGUCAAUGUGGAGGCUAUAUACAGAUGGUACUGGUACAGAGUCAAUGUGGAGGCUAUAUACAGAUGGUACUGGUACAGAGUCAAUGUGGAGGCUAUAUACAGAUGGUACUGGUACAGAGUCAAUGUGGAGGCUAUAUACAGAUGGUACUGGUACAGAGUCAAUGUGGAGGCUAUAUACAGAUGGUACUGGUACAGAGUCAAUGUGGAGGCUAUAUACAGAUGGUAUUGGUACAGAGUCAAUGUGGAGGCUAUAUACAGAUGGUACCGGUACAGAGUCAAUGUGGAGGCUA